GGAGGAUGUAAGAGACCAUCGAGGGCUACCACGCAGCACCAUGUGGUGGGAGCACUGUGCGAGUGUGAUAAAUGCUCUGAGAGAACAGCCGUGAAGCGAUCGGGAGCGGUCCACGCAGUUGGAGUUUUGCAGGUGUACUGGGAGCAGGAGGGGGAAUUAUGGGGUGAUAUGGGUAGGACUUCCCGGAGAACUGGAGAAGAUGAAUGUGGGUUUACCCGGAAGACUACAUGUGUCAGACCUGGAAAGCUUAAAAUAGAAGAACAAGGAAGCAGGAGGACAAAAAAAGCAAAAGUGAAACCAGUUUUUCACUUCUGGCUUGGAGGAUAAAUAAGGCUCUGUCAGCACAGAGGGAGCUGAAAGUCUAGGCUGGAGAUUUCAGCCUGCAAACUCCCAGACUCCAGGAAGGAACCUUCUCUGCUUUCUCUCUAGUCUCUUUGGAGCACCUUGAGGACAGGAGCUUGGCUUCAAGAAGACAGCAGAAGCACCAGGAGACGGGAAGAUACCUCUGAGAGUUAACCUACAGGAUCGGCAUUCCUGACUGCAGCUGUG
RNAcentral lists this long non-coding RNA (549 nucleotides) under Sus scrofa (pig). Its description in RNAcentral is "lncRNA (ENSSSCG00035051574.1)". Lineage: Eukaryota; Metazoa; Chordata; Mammalia; Artiodactyla; Suidae. The record is from RNAcentral.